CCGUCCACAAUGCUGAGGUCUGACCUUGGUGGAAGUGGGGUGCUGCUUAACUUUUCUUCUGAGACAUAGUCCAACCAUAAUCCACCCUGCAAGCCCGGAGCAGCAGUCAAGAGUGUCCAAAUGAUUUCCCCCAAAUCUGGGCACACAGAUGAGUGCCCCUGUGAGCAAAUCGCCUCCCAGCCUGCCCAGAGUCACCUAGGCUGCCUGCAAAUGGUGUUUCAGAGCAAGGUAGGGGACCUUUGGAGGAGUGAAUGCAAACAGCUGUCUGGACAAGUGGUGCCCUAACUGGUAGAGCCAAGAGACAGAAGCACAGAAUGGGCAGACUGCGCUGGUAGAGUGAGGCGCACAGGUGAUGGACCCUCAGGGCAGACGUGCACUCUCUGAGGCUAAUUUUAAAAGAGAUGAAAAUAUAUGGCUGGAAGGGACCCAGGCGACAACAUCUGCAGGACCUUGCUCCCUUCUGUCUGUUCAGAAUGUUUUGGAACAAUCUCCGGAGGCCUCACUCCCCGUACCUGCUUUGAGUCCGUGACUCAGAUAAAAACUGGAGACGUUAAGAAAUUGAUAUUUAAGGAGAUCCAGCCAGAGGAUGAUGGAGAUGGCCUUGAACCCUGAUCUUCAGCCGGCAAAGUCUGCAUUUGCCAGGGCCAUGUUGCUCUGCCACGUGGCCCUCAGAGGCUGAGGUUUCAGCGGCAGGACAUGUGCAUGGGCGGGCAAUUGCGGCCCACGUUUUGACGUUUCUGGCUUGGAGGUGGGGACAGAGUUCUCUGGCGCCCACACAACGGAGUGCAGUCACCCUAAAGAGGAGCAUUUAGAAGCUGCAAAACCUAAAUGCGCUGCCAUGCACCCUUACAUCGCACAGCAUCAGCUCUGCCCAGUCUGUUCCACCUUCUGCAAGUUCAAGGGAAGAGUCCAGAGCCAGGAUCACAUCGGGUUUCGCCCUGGGCCUGCAGCUCCGGGCCUCGGAAGCCAGUAAUUCCUUAUCCAGAGCCUGGGAAACUGAAAGUGACCUUCAACACUUGGACACCUGAGAACCAUCACCUAACAGGGUCCUCAGGAGACAGUGCACUAGAGCAAAGGAGCAUGGAAGAGGCACUUUUGUUCCCUUACCUACCAAGGAAGGGGACAGAAUAGCCAGAGGAAAUGAGGCCUUUGGAAACUCCAGAAUGGGGAUUUGAGAACAAUGCAGCCUUCUGGAAGCUGGAGUGCUAAGGGAAGUUACCUUCCGUUGCUACAGGAAGAGUGAGCACAGCAAUGUGCCUGUGGGACCUCUGGCCAGGCUCUGCGGCAGCAGCAGGAGGACAGCAACCUGGGGAAGAAGAGGUGAUUUCAUUUGGUAGGACUCGGAACUUGGGUUGGAGCAAGACCAGACGCCCCACUGUUGGGUUGUCUGUAUUAAAAGCCUCCUCAGCCCCAGGCUUGAUGACCAGCCUCUAUUACUCAGAAGAACUUGUGCAACUCCCUGCUUCUUUAUAUUCAAGCGUCAGCAUGUUUGACCUUUGUUUGCAAUCCAGAACCUGCCUGGGAUUUUACAGAACAAAAACCCAGCUUCAUUCUGAAAAUGAAAUGACAGCUGAUCACUGGAAAGCAGCCCACAGCCCAGAUCCCCACGUUAGCGCAAUCUGAAGUCAAAGUUUCCACCUGGAUGAUUCCAAUGCCAGCUUGACACCUUGCGAGGAGUGAGCCGGAUUGUUUGGGGAGAGUCCUGCGGAGAGAAGGUGACAGAGUGCCCUGUGAGGGACCGAGAGCAGAAGGAAUGAGGACCUGGGCCAGGCUGUGGAAGAAAGAACAGGAAAAGAGCAGAAUCUACCUGAUUUGGCAACUAACUGGGUGCAGGAGGAUUGAAGAACGUUCUGGCAAGAUGGCAACUUGGGUGUGUCCGAGCGUUCCUCCAGGGCACACCCCUCUCCUGAGCCUGAGCCAGCUGGAGUCGGCAGGCAGUUCUGUAUUUUCUAAGAGGACUUGAUCCUGUCUUCUGUCAGGUCAGCAGUCUGUUCUCAGUUCUUGGUGUGGUCUGGCCAAAGAAUGACCAGACACCCUGAAAGUAAGAAAGCGAUCAACAAUCUACUGGACAUUUGGAUUUCAGCAGGCAUGAAAUACAGGGUGGAGAUUGGUAAGAGAGAAAUCUGAAAAGUUUGAGAGGUGGAAGAAAGUUAGAACUUGAAUGAACCACAGACUGGAGGAGCAACAGGACCAGCCAGCUUGGGAGGGUUUGCGUCCUUGUGCCACCAGGAGAUGACGGUGGGAGGAAGCUUAUCUCUGUGAGUGUCUGCUUUUAAACGUGUAAAAUGAAAACAAUCAUGCCAACUUUCAAAUAAAUGAUAACUGAAGAAGCUGUUUCCGUGGGAGUCUUUGGGAAGCUCUAAACACAAGUGGGAAGUUUUGGAUGCCAGGGGCAGACAGCGGUGCCAAUGGGGAAGAUUCCCUGCCUCCUGCACUGACUGCUGUCCUGCUCUGGCACCCGGAGCAUUAGAAGCUUUGGGACACAGGUGGUAGCCUUCACCAUGGUUAUUAGCUACAGGGCUCAUGUGAGAAGCAGAGUGACAGAGGAGCGAGGCAGGUAUUCCUGGUGACUGGUCUGACAAUUUGGCCCUUGAGCACAUGGGGACAUCUCUGGGGACCUUUAGAUAUACCAUGGGGUGUGUGGGACGUUGGGGUGCUGGAGGUCUUUAUGAGCAGUGGAACAAGGAUAGGAAAUUCGGGUUAAGGUAUAAUAGCAAAAGUGACCUUGUUUAUACCCACGGGCUGCUGAGCCCUGGAGAGUGUCCGGAUGACACAGACAUCAUGUCUUCAGUGGUGCAGACGAGUCAAACAACACUGAGAGCAACAGCGAGGAAGACAGUUUUUGAGGUGGGUGGUGGUGGACAGGGUCACGUGGGAGAAGCCUGCCUUAGACCUGAACUUGCUGAUUCCAUCUGCAGGAAGACAUUUUCUUGUUGUGUUAUCUGGAGAUGACCCAACGGCCUGGAGUUCACUCCAUCUAUGCAAAAGAGGAUGCAUCUUCAAAUAAAAGAUGAAAAAGCAAGUUGGGUUCAGGGAGUUUCUCAAAAAGCAAGUUCUAGCAUCAACAGCUGUGCAGUGUGCAGUGUAGGGCCAUCUGGAAGGGACGACCCUGCUCACAGCUCCUGUAGUGGCACCCAGCCAUGGAUCCCACCCCAGCCUGGAUCUUGGCUGGCGUGGUGGCUAUCCCCAGUCAGCAGGGGGAGGCUGUGGUGUGUCCAACGAAUCUAGUUCCGGAAGACAAGAAAGUAUAUGGCACAUGCUUGAUAAUAGAUGAGUCUUAAGGCCCUUUCAACCUCGGAAUUUAUUUAUUCUAUAAUUUGUAUAAGAGUGUAAGACACUACAACUUUGGACUUUUAUCCACAGAGAAAGCUAAGCUAUCCCAAAUUGCAUAUUUCAAAAGUUAUCAAGUAAGAAAAAAGGCAAAGACAAAUCAAAAUACUGAAGGCCUCUGGUGUCUAAAAGAGCCAUUCACA
Molecule: non-coding RNA, 3473 nt
Organism: Microcebus murinus (gray mouse lemur)
Lineage: Eukaryota; Metazoa; Chordata; Mammalia; Primates; Cheirogaleidae
Source: RefSeq, a predicted model, not a curated record